GGAGGAAAAGAAACUAACAAGGAUUCCCCUAGUAACGGCGAGUGAAGCGGGAAGAGCUCAAAUUUGUAAUCUGGCCCUUUCAGGGUCCGAGUUGUAAUCUCGAGAAGUGUUUUCCGCGCCGGACCGCAUACAAGUCUGUUGGAAUACAGCGUCAUAGUGGUGAGAGCCCCGUAAUUGAUGUGGAUGCCCGGUGCUUUGUGAUACACUUUCGAAGAGUCGAGUUGUUUGGGAAUGCAGCUCAAAUUGGGUGGUAAAUUCCAUCUAAAGCUAAAUAUUGGCGAGAGACCGAUAGCGAACAAGUACCGUGAGGGAAAGAUGAAAAGCACUUUGGAAAGAGAGUUAACAGUACGUGAAAUUGUUGGAAGGGAAACGCUUGAAGUCAGACUUGCUAUUCGGAAUUCAGCCGCAAGGUGUACUUUUCGAUUUGCAGGCCAGCAUCAGUUUUUGGGGGUGGAAAAGGGUGGAGAGAAGGUAGCAACCUUGGUUGUGUUAUAGCUCUUUACUGGAUUCAUCUUUGGGGACUGAGGAUCGCAGUGCGCAAUUUACUUUGCAAACCUUUCGAGGUUUUCGUACUUAGGAUGCUGGUGGAAUGGCUUUAAACGACCCGUCUUGAA
This 614-nucleotide ribosomal RNA is filed under the name Glaciozyma watsonii. Its description in RNAcentral is "partial large subunit ribosomal RNA". It matches the Rfam family "Eukaryotic large subunit ribosomal RNA", at positions 52 to 658 of the family's 3401-position model. Lineage: Eukaryota; Fungi; Basidiomycota; Microbotryomycetes; Kriegeriales; Camptobasidiaceae. The record is from RNAcentral.